UGUGGUCUCUGCUGCAUGUCACACAUUGAAGCACUGUGCUGGGGGUCAUCACAGGCUGUUUAACUCAAUUGUCACAUGAGCCUGGGUGCACAAAAUGGUAGAGCAGCUCAGAGAGAGAUGGACAGACAGCAUGAACCUCUGAGGAGUCAGGUUUUCUUGGAUGAAGGGACACUAAGAUGGCUUUGGAGCGUGAGAAGGACUUCACCUAGCAAAUGUGGGAAAGGAGUGAGACCUCCAGGCAGAGGGACUGGCUGGAGACGAGCGUGAUGUGGAACGUGUGACAAUUGAGUUGAACAGGCUGCAAAAACGAAAAAGAAGAAAGAAAUGCUGAGUUAAACAGGCUGCAAUGACCCCCAGCACGGUGCUUCAAUGCAUGAAACGCAUCAAUGACUUGCAGCAGAGGCCACACUCAGCCCCCCUCUGCCCUUUGAGUUUUUGCAGCUCUUGCCAAGAUCAUUCUUGUUCUUAGAAAGCCCACCAUUAUUUUCCUUUCUAGCCAUAUGGAUUCUAAAAGUUCCUCUUGUGAGCUGUAAUCAGAAUGCAGAGAAGUAAUACAAGGUUAGGGCCCAGGACUCUUUCUCCCACCUCUCCCUGCAGAGACUCAGAUUUUUUUAAAAAAUGACCUUGGUCUUCGGGGGAAGAACUUCCCACCACAGUGAACAGCCAUGCCCAGCCUACACUUGACUGUGCGGCUUACUUAGCUCAUCCAUCCAAAGGCUAUUCCUGGGUUGCCUAGUGGAAAUCCAGGCAUGGAGCUAGUGCAAGCACAAUGAUAAGAGUGAGCCUGGCAGACACUGACCCCAGCAAUAAUCAGGUAAACAAAUAAACAGAACUACAAACUAUGAUGACAAGAAUUCAUCCAUCCACAGAUAUUCACUGAAUGGCCACUGUGUGCCUGGCACUGUUCCAAGUGCUGAAGAAAAAUGAAGAAAACAAAAAUCCCUGCCCUUAUAGAGGAGACAUUAUAAUGUGACAAGAUAACAUAAUGAAAAAGAAUGAAGAAUAAAAUAGAAAAGUAAAAUGGAUUGCAUGUCACUUGAUGACAAGUACUGUGGAAUGAGGCCGUCAUCUAAAUGGAGCACAGAAAGUGGAACAUGGCGACAUCUCAGCCAAAAGACCCGGCAGACACCAUCUUGGCCAAGGGAUCGAGGUUGGCAUCGCCAGCUGUGAGCAGUGCUGACAUCUUAUUAUCUUCGAUAUGGCGUCAUGAGCAGGCUGCCUCCUCUUGGUGGGAUCUUCCCCCAAACCCAGAACCUCAGUCUAAUCACAAGAAAAUGACAGCCAAUCCCAAGUUCAGGGACAUUUGGCAAAAUAGCCCACCACUCCUACUUAAAAGUGUCGAGGUCUUGAAAGGCAAGGAAACCCUGGGAAAUCGUCUUUGGCCGGAGGAAACUCAGCAGACAUGACGACUAAAUGCAAUGUAGAAUCCUCGGACAGAAAAGGACAUUAGUAGGACAGCUGGUGAAACCCAAGUAAGUCCAGGCUGUACCAAUGUCCACUUCCCAGUUCUGAGGAACAUGCUGUGGUCUGUCCACAUUUACAUUAGGAGAAGCAGGGAGAGCGUAUAUGGGACCUCUCUGUAUUGUUUUUAUAACUUUUCUGUAAAUCCAAAA
This is a long non-coding RNA of Homo sapiens (human), 1613 nucleotides long. RefSeq lists it as uncharacterized. NCBI's taxonomy places the organism in Eukaryota, Metazoa, Chordata, Mammalia, Primates, Hominidae. The record is from RefSeq and is a predicted model, not a curated record. The transcript is spliced from 2 exons.